UGGGGAAUAUUGCACAAUGGGCGCAAGCCUGAUGCAGCCAUGCCGCGUGUAUGAAGAAGGCCUUCGGGUUGUAAAGUACUUUCAGCGGGGAGGAAGGUGUUGAGGCUAAUAACCUCAGCAAUUGACGUUACCCGCAGAAGAAGCACCGGCUAACUCCGUGCCAGCAGCCGCGGUAAUACGGAGGGUGCAAGCGUUAAUCGGAAUUACUGGGCGUAAAGCGCAUGCAGGCGGUCUGUCAAGUCGGAUGUGAAAUCCCCGGGCUCAACCUGGGAACUGCAUUCGAAACUGGCAGGCUAGAGUCUUGUAGAGGGGGGUAGAAUUCCAGGUGUAGCGGUGAAAUGCGUAGAGAUCUGGAGGAAUACCGGUGGCGAAGGCGGCCCCCUGGACAAAGACUGACGCUCAGGUGCGAAAGCGUGGGGAGCAAACA
Molecule: ribosomal RNA, 427 nt
Filed under: uncultured bacterium
Lineage: Bacteria
Description: partial 16S ribosomal RNA
Rfam family: Bacterial small subunit ribosomal RNA
Source: RNAcentral